Molecule: ribosomal RNA, 460 nt
Filed under: uncultured bacterium
Lineage: Bacteria
Description: partial 16S ribosomal RNA
Rfam family: Bacterial small subunit ribosomal RNA
Source: RNAcentral
CCUACGGGUGGCAGCAGUGAGGAAUAUUGGUCAAUGGGCGGGAGCCUGACCCAGCCAAGUCGCGUGAGGGAAGACGGUCCUCUGGAUUGUAAACCUCUUUAGGCGGGGAGAAAUGCAGGGCACGCGUGCCCGGAGGGAGAGUACCCGCAGAGUAAGCAUCGGCUAACUCCGUGGCAGCAGCCGAGGUAAUACGGGGGGUGCGAGCGUUAUCGGGUUUUAUUGGGUUAAAAGGCUUCGUAUGCGGAUUUUUAAGUCAGCGGUAAAAUGUCCGGGUUCAACCCAGUCCGGCCGUUGAAACUGGUGAUCUUGAGUGGCAGAGAAGUAGGCGGAAUUCGUGGUGUAGCGGUGAAAUGCAUAGAUAUCACGCAGAACUCCGAUUGCGAAGGCAGCAUACCGGCGCCCGACUGACGCUGAGGCACGAAAGCGUGGGGAUCGAACAGGAUUAGAUACCCGUGUAGUC